RNA transcript from Homo sapiens (human), 3871 nucleotides. It is a transcript of the gene named pre-mRNA processing factor 6, with no coding region annotated. NCBI's taxonomy places the organism in Eukaryota, Metazoa, Chordata, Mammalia, Primates, Hominidae. The record is from RefSeq and is marked reviewed. The transcript is spliced from 20 exons.
GACGGCGACACUUUGCUACGGAGUGCAUCGGACGUCGAAGCCUAGAGUCUCUGCGUCUUUCCCUCUUCCGCUGCCUCAUUCCUUUCCUUCCUAGCCUUGGUCGUCGCCGCCACCAUGAACAAGAAGAAGAAACCGUUCCUAGGGAUGCCCGCGCCCCUCGGCUACGUGCCGGGGCUGGGCCGGGGCGCCACUGGCUUCACCACGCGGUCAGACAUUGGGCCCGCCCGUGAUGCAAAUGACCCUGUGGAUGAUCGCCAUGCACCCCCAGGCAAGAGAACCGUUGGGGACCAGAUGAAGAAAAAUCAGGCUGCUGACGAUGACGACGAGGAUCUAAAUGACACCAAUUACGAUGAGUUUAAUGGCUAUGCUGGGAGCCUCUUCUCAAGUGGACCCUACGAGAAAGAUGAUGAGGAAGCAGAUGCUAUCUAUGCAGCCCUGGAUAAAAGGAUGGAUGAAAGAAGAAAAGAAAGACGGGAGCAAAGGGAGAAAGAAGAAAUAGAGAAAUAUCGUAUGGAACGCCCCAAAAUCCAACAGCAGUUCUCAGACCUCAAGAGGAAGUUGGCAGAAGUCACAGAAGAAGAGUGGCUGAGCAUCCCCGAGGUUGGCGAUGCCAGAAAUAAACGUCAGCGGAACCCACGCUAUGAGAAGCUGACCCCUGUUCCUGACAGUUUCUUUGCCAAACAUUUACAGACCGGAGAGAACCAUACCUCAGUGGAUCCCCGACAAACUCAAUUUGGAGGUCUUAACACACCCUAUCCAGGUGGACUAAACACUCCAUACCCAGGUGGAAUGACGCCAGGACUGAUGACACCUGGCACAGGUGAGCUGGACAUGAGGAAGAUUGGCCAAGCGAGGAACACUCUGAUGGACAUGAGGCUGAGCCAGGUGUCUGACUCCGUGAGUGGACAGACCGUCGUUGACCCCAAAGGCUACCUGACGGAUUUAAAUUCCAUGAUCCCGACACACGGAGGAGACAUCAAUGAUAUCAAGAAGGCGCGACUGCUCCUCAAGUCUGUUCGGGAGACGAACCCUCAUCACCCGCCAGCCUGGAUUGCAUCAGCCCGCCUGGAAGAAGUCACUGGGAAGCUACAAGUAGCUCGGAACCUUAUCAUGAAGGGGACGGAGAUGUGCCCCAAGAGUGAAGAUGUCUGGCUGGAAGCAGCCAGGUUGCAGCCUGGGGACACAGCCAAGGCCGUGGUAGCCCAAGCUGUCCGUCAUCUCCCACAGUCUGUCAGGAUUUACAUCAGAGCCGCAGAGCUGGAAACGGACAUUCGUGCAAAGAAGCGGGUUCUUCGGAAAGCCCUCGAGCAUGUUCCAAACUCGGUUCGCUUGUGGAAAGCAGCCGUUGAGCUGGAAGAACCUGAAGAUGCUAGAAUCAUGCUGAGCCGAGCUGUGGAGUGCUGCCCCACCAGCGUGGAGCUCUGGCUUGCUCUGGCAAGGCUGGAGACCUAUGAAAAUGCCCGCAAGGUCUUGAACAAGGCGCGGGAGAACAUUCCUACAGACCGACAUAUCUGGAUCACGGCUGCUAAGCUGGAGGAAGCCAAUGGGAACACGCAGAUGGUGGAGAAGAUCAUCGACCGAGCCAUCACCUCGCUGCGGGCCAACGGUGUGGAGAUCAACCGUGAGCAGUGGAUCCAGGAUGCCGAGGAAUGUGACAGGGCUGGGAGUGUGGCCACCUGCCAGGCCGUCAUGCGUGCCGUGAUUGGGAUUGGGAUUGAGGAGGAAGAUCGGAAGCAUACCUGGAUGGAGGAUGCUGACAGUUGUGUAGCCCACAAUGCCCUGGAGUGUGCACGAGCCAUCUACGCCUACGCCCUGCAGGUGUUCCCCAGCAAGAAGAGUGUGUGGCUGCGCGCCGCGUACUUCGAGAAGAACCAUGGCACUCGGGAGUCCCUGGAAGCACUCCUGCAGAGGGCUGUGGCCCACUGCCCCAAAGCAGAGGUGCUGUGGCUCAUGGGCGCCAAGUCCAAGUGGCUGGCAGGGGAUGUGCCUGCAGCAAGGAGCAUCCUGGCCCUGGCCUUCCAGGCCAACCCCAACAGUGAGGAGAUCUGGCUGGCAGCCGUGAAGCUGGAGUCCGAGAAUGAUGAGUACGAGCGGGCCCGGAGGCUGCUGGCCAAGGCGCGGAGCAGUGCCCCCACCGCCCGGGUGUUCAUGAAGUCUGUGAAGCUGGAGUGGGUGCAAGACAACAUCAGGGCAGCCCAAGAUCUGUGCGAGGAGGCCCUGCGGCACUAUGAGGACUUCCCCAAGCUGUGGAUGAUGAAGGGGCAGAUCGAGGAGCAGAAGGAGAUGAUGGAGAAGGCGCGGGAAGCCUAUAACCAGGGGUUGAAGAAGUGUCCCCACUCCACACCCCUGUGGCUUUUGCUCUCUCGGCUGGAGGAGAAGAUUGGGCAGCUUACUCGAGCACGGGCCAUUUUGGAAAAGUCUCGUCUGAAGAACCCAAAGAACCCUGGGCUGUGGUUGGAGUCCGUGCGGCUGGAGUACCGUGCGGGGCUGAAGAACAUCGCAAAUACACUCAUGGCCAAGGCGCUGCAGGAGUGCCCCAACUCCGGUAUCCUGUGGUCUGAGGCCAUCUUCCUCGAGGCAAGGCCCCAGAGGAGGACCAAGAGCGUGGAUGCCCUGAAGAAGUGUGAGCAUGACCCCCAUGUGCUCCUGGCCGUGGCCAAGUGAGUGGGGCCCCCACAGGAUUGCUGAACCUCGGGGUCCUAAUGGGCUCUUUUUCCAGAGUCUGUCUGCCUCUUCCUGGUCAUUGUAAAGAUGCCCGGCAGCAGGGUGGGCUUCCCCGAUCCUCGGCUGCCGUCGCUCCUGCUGUGGUCUGGGGCAGGCGCCUCUCCUGGCAGACACACCUGAGGGUGCCGUGGUCAGAGACUCACCGGGGACGCAUGUGAUUCACACUGGUGCUCUGGUCGCCGGGUCAGAGACUCACUGGGGACGCAUGUGAUUCACACUGGUGCGCUGGCCGCCGGGUCAGAGACUCACUGGGGACACAUGUGAUUCACACUGGUGUGCUGGCCGCCGGGUCAGAGACUCACUGGGGACGCGUGUGAUUCACACUGGUGCGCUGGCCGCUGGGUCAGAGACUCACUGGGGACGUGACUCUGGAACCUUGCAGGCAGCAGCGGGUAGCCAUGGGGCAGAGCAUGCAGACUCUAGGCACAUGUGGGCAAAGACCCGCCAGGUGUGGGGCACAGCAGGGAGCUCAGGGCCAUCCCCGACCCCCAGGGUCCCUGUUUCCUUCUAGAAAGAGGAUGACAGUCUGGGAAGGAGCUGGGCCUGAGUGUGGGUCAGGAGGCUGGGAAGUGACCAUGUGGGGUGAAGGGAGUUCUUGGAAGAACCCUGGGUUCCUGAGGCUGCAGCUCAGGACGUGGGCUCACCUGGCAGAGGUGGCGUGUCUGGCCCCAGGAGCUCUCCUGUGUCCGGCUUCCCCUCCACCUGCCCCGCCAUGGGUCAUGCAGAGACAACAGCCUUCCUAGUGCUGGCUUUUGAUUCUCUCCAUCCCUUCUCCCCAGCACUGGGUGGCAGUGGUGCUUGGUCUCCAGAGGUCUGGGUGCCGCCCCCACAGGCUUGCCUGUAGGGGCACCUCCUCUCCCCUGCCCGCAGGCCCCCGACAGAUGAGAGAGGCUCCCCACAGGGAGGCUUGUGUCUGCCUGGUGCUACCUUGGUCCUGCCCUGUGCGUUCACCUCCCAGAGUGACUUCUGGGUGACACUCUGAUAGUGCAGCCAUAAAACCUUAUAAAAGGCUUUGCUAAAGUAAAUAAGUCACUCCUUGCUAUUCCCAAGCCAGUGUUUUGUGUGUCUGCUAUCUGGGUUUGUGCUCUUUAAAUCACAGUUUAUCUAACACCGGGCAAUUAAGAAUACCACAAGGCUUAAAAAACAA